UAGCUUGCUAAUAAUUCUCUAGUGGCGCACGGGUGAGUAACACGUGAGUAACCUGCCCCCAAGAGUGGGAUAGCCCCGGGAAACUGGGAUUAAUACCGCAUAAAAUCGCAAGAUUAAAGCAGCAAUGCGCUUGGGGAUGGGCUCGCGUCCUAUUAGUUAGUUGGUGAGGUAACGGCUCACCAAGGCGAUGACGGGUAGCCGGUCUGAGAGGAUGUCCGGCCACACUGGAACUGAGACACGGUCCAGACACCUACGGGUGGCAGCAGUCGAGAAUCAUUCACAAUGGGGGAAACCCUGAUGGUGCGACGCCGCGUGGGGGAAUGAAGGUCUUCGGAUUGUAAACCCCUGUCAUGUGGGAGCAAAUUAAAAAGAUAGUACCACAAGAGGAAGAGACGGCUAACUCUGUGCCAGCAGCCGCGGUAAUACAGAGGUCUCAAGCGUUGUUCGGAAUCACUGGGCGUAAAGCGUGCGUAGGCGGUUUCGUAAGUCGUGUGUGAAAGGCGGGGGCUCAACCCCCGGACUGCACAUGAUACUGCGAGACUAGAGUAAUGGAGGGGGAACCGGAAUUCUCGGUGUAGCAGUGAAAUGCGUAGAUAUCGAGAGGAACACUCGUGGCGAAGGCGGGUUCCUGGACAUUAACUGACGCUGAGGCACGAAGGCCAGGGGAGCGAAAGGGAUUAGAUACCCCUGUAGUC
Molecule: ribosomal RNA, 695 nt
Filed under: uncultured bacterium
Lineage: Bacteria
Description: bacterial SSU rRNA
Rfam family: Bacterial small subunit ribosomal RNA
Source: RNAcentral